Carlito syrichta (Philippine tarsier) is the source of this 2051-nucleotide RNA transcript. It is a transcript of the gene named ornithine decarboxylase pseudogene, with no coding region annotated. The transcript has a single exon. The record is from RefSeq and is a predicted model, not a curated record. NCBI's taxonomy places the organism in Eukaryota, Metazoa, Chordata, Mammalia, Primates, Tarsiidae.
UCCCUGCUGCCGCCGCUGGCCACCAGCCACACCUAUGCCAGCAGCUCUGGUGCCACCUUGGGUCGGCGUCUCCGGGGGCGGGAGCAAGGCGUGGAUGGGUGCAGCGGGGACGCCCAAGCGCUGUUGCGGCUCGGCUCGGGCGCGGGUGGCAGCGCCUCCACUUCUCCAUGGGGCUGGCCCGUGGCACCCGGGUGCCCUGAGAACAUUUCCACUGCCGUUCCAUGGAUUCACGGAGCAGGGUUUGGAAUUCCUGGAGAACUGCCUUUGUGAGAAGUUGGAAAUAUUUAUGUCAAUUCCAUCUCUUAGUUUUCCAUAGGAACAUCAAGAAACCAUGAACAACUUUAGUAAUUAAGAGUUUGACUGCCACUUCCUUGAAGGUUUUACUGCCAAGGACACUCUGGACCAAAAAAUUAAUGAAGUUUCUUCUGAUGAUAAAGAUGCCUUCUAUGUUGCAGACCUUGGAGACAUUCUAAAGAAAAAUCUGAGAUUUUAAAAGCUCUUCCUCGUGUCAUCCCCUUUUAUGUAGUCAAAUGUAAUGAUAGCAGAGCCAUUGUGAAGACCCGUGUUGCUAUCGGGACGGGAUUUGACUGUGCUAGCAAGACUGAAAUACAAUUGAUACAGUCUUGGGGUGCUUCCAGAGAGGAUUAUCUAUGCAAAUCCUUGUAAACAAGUGUCUCAAAUUAAGUAUGCUGCCAGUAAUGGAGUCCAGAUGAUGACUUUUGAUAGUGAAGUUGAGUUGAUCAAAGUUGCCAGAGCACAUCCAAAUGCAAGUUGGUUUUGCGGAUUGCCACUGAUGAUUCCAAGGCAGUCUGUCGCCUCAGUGUUCAAUUUGGUGCCACACUCAAAACCAGCAGGCUUCUUUUGGAAUGGGCAAAAGAGCUAAAUAUGGAUGUCGUUGGUGUCAGCUUCCACGUAGGAAGUGGCUGCACUGAUUCCGAGACCUCCGUUCAGGCCGUCUCUGAUGCCCGUUGUGUCUUUGACAUGGGGGCUGAAGUUGGUUUCAGCAUGUAUCUGCUUGAUAUUGGUGGUGGCUUUCUUGGAUCUGAGGAUGUGAAGCUUAAAUCUGAAGAGAUCACCCGUGUAAUCAACCCAGCAUUGGACAAGUAUUUUCCAUCAGACUCUGGAGUGGCAAUUAUAGCUGAGCCAGGCAGCUACUAUGUUGCAUCAGCUUUCACUCUUGCAGUCAGCAUCAUUGCCACAAAAAUCAUAUUAAAGGAACAGACAGGCUCUGAUGAUGAUGAAUUGAGUGAACAGACCUUUAUGUAUUAUGUGAAUGGCGGAGUAUAUGGAUCAUUUAAUUGCAUCCUGUAUGAUCAUGCACAUGUCAAGCCCCUCUGCAGAAGAGGCCUAAACCAGAUGAGAAGUAGUACUCGUCCAGUAUAUGGGGACCAACGUGUGAUGGCCUUGAUCGGAUUGCAGAGCGCUGUGACCUGCCUGGAGUGCACGUCGACGACUGGAUGAUCUUGGAGAACACGGGCGCUUACACUGUUGCUGCUGCUUCUACUUUCAAUGGAUUCCAGAGGCCAACCAUCUACUACGUGAUGUCACGACCAAUGUGGCAACUCAUGCAGCACAUCCAGAACCCCGACUUCCCACCUGAGGUAGAGGAACAGGACGUCAGCACCCUGCCUGUGUCUUGUGCUUGGGAAAGCGGAAUGAAGCAUCACCCAGCGACUGGAGCUUCAGCUAGUAUUCAUGUGUAGAUAAUCACCCUUGUAGCUGCUAACUGCAAGUUCAGCUUGAAUUAAGGGUUUUGGGGGGACCACUUAACUUAGUUACCACUCAUUUUGAAAUGUCUUUGUAACAGUGGGGUUGGUGUAGAUGCAGCAAUAUGGAAGACUAGGAGAUGGGGUCACACUUAUCUGUGUUCCUAUGGAAACUAUUAGAAUAUUUGUUUUAUAUGGAUUUUUAUUCACUUUUCAGACAUGCUACUACAGAGUGCCCCCCAGCUGCUGAGCAAGCAUUUGUAGCUUGUACAGUGGCAGAAUGGGCCAAAAGCUUAGUGUUGUGACCUGUUUUUAAAAUAAAGCAUCUUGAAAUUAAAAAAAAAA